GAUGAACGCUGGCGGCGUGCCUAAUACAUGCAAGUCGAGCGAACAGACGAGGAGCUUGCUCCUCUGACGUUAGCGGCGGACGGGUGAGUAACACGUGGAUAACCUACCUAUAAGACUGGGAUAACUUCGGGAAACCGGAGCUAAUACCGGAUAAUAUAUUGAACCGCAUGGUUCAAUAGUGAAAGACGGUUUUGCUGUCACUUAUAGAUGGAUCCGCGCCGCAUUAGCUAGUUGGUAAGGUAACGGCUUACCAAGGCAACGAUGCGUAGCCGACCUGAGAGGGUGAUCGGCCACAAGGGAACUGAGACACGGUCCAGACUCCUAAGGGAGGCAGCAGUAGGGAAUCUUCCGCAAUGGGCGAAAGCUUGACGGAGCAACGCCGCGUGAGUGAUGAAGGUCUUCGGAUCGUAAAACUCUGUUAUUAGGGAAGAACAAAUGUGUAAGUAACUAUGCACGUCUUGACGGUACCUAAUCAGAAAGCCACGGCUAACUACGUG
This 497-nucleotide ribosomal RNA is filed under the name uncultured bacterium. Its description in RNAcentral is "partial 16S ribosomal RNA". It matches the Rfam family "Bacterial small subunit ribosomal RNA", at positions 28 to 507 of the family's 1533-position model. The record is from RNAcentral.